AGUAGGGUGCCAUCAAGAGGUGUAUUUGGAAAUAUCCCUAAUACAGGAUCACUUGGA
This 57-nucleotide ribosomal RNA is filed under the name Enterocytozoon bieneusi. Its description in RNAcentral is "partial large subunit ribosomal RNA". The record is from RNAcentral. Lineage: Eukaryota; Fungi; Microsporidia; Enterocytozoonidae.